Molecule: ribosomal RNA, 81 nt
Filed under: uncultured eukaryote
Lineage: Eukaryota
Description: partial small subunit ribosomal RNA
Rfam family: Eukaryotic small subunit ribosomal RNA
Source: RNAcentral
GGUGAAAUUCUCAGAUUAACUAAAGACUAACUUAUGCGAAAGCAUUUGCCAAGGAUGUUUUCAUCAAUCAAGAACGAAAGU